CUUAAUCUCGAGUCAAUAUGCUUAAUCUCAGGUCAAAUCGCACUCCAUGGUCAAACUUCCCGAAAGGUCACCCAUCCCUCUCACUACUCCAGCCUGAGCACGCUUAACUUCCGGGUUCUAUUCUUCCUCGUUUCCAUGUCUGCACUUGUUGUUUUCCUGACAAUAGUAAGAUGUCAAUCCUAUUAACCUUAGGAAUUUAGCUUGAGCAUGUACUGACACAUUUCACUGUUUGAGUUUGAAACUAUUGUUCUAAAAAAUUAGUAACACUAAUAUUUCUUGAAUAAUUAGUUCGCACACAGUUUGACCAGAUUUGACCAUAGUUUGACCAGAUUUGACCACACUUUGACCAUAGUUUGACCAUAUUUGACCAAAAUUCAAAAAAACUAAAAUAAUUAUUUAUUAACACUAAUAUUCUUGAAUAAUUAGUUUGACCAUAGUUUGACCAGAUUUAACAAAAACUAAAAAACUAUUUUUUUUGAAUUUUUUUGCCUCCAGAUCUUAAAAGCCCCGUAACUUUUUUUCUAUUAGGCUUUUGAGGAUUUU
Molecule: long non-coding RNA, 543 nt
Filed under: Triticum aestivum (bread wheat)
Lineage: Eukaryota; Viridiplantae; Streptophyta; Magnoliopsida; Poales; Poaceae
Description: long non-coding RNA (TAES_LNC027086)
Source: RNAcentral